UACAGAGGGUGCAAGCGUUAAUCGGAAUUACUGGGCGUAAAGCGUGCGCAGACGGUUUCGUAAGACUGUCGUGAAAUCCCCGGGCUCAACCUGGGAAUGGCGAUGGUGACUGCAAGGCUAGAGUUUGGCAGAGGGGGGUAGAAUUCCACGUGUAGCAGUGAAAUGCGUAGAUAUGUGGAGGAACACCGAUGGCGAAGGCAGCCCCCUGGGUCAAGAUUGACGCUCAUGCACGAAAGCGUGGGGAGCAAACAGG
This 253-nucleotide ribosomal RNA is filed under the name uncultured prokaryote. Its description in RNAcentral is "partial 16S ribosomal RNA". It matches the Rfam family "Bacterial small subunit ribosomal RNA", at positions 524 to 776 of the family's 1533-position model. The record is from RNAcentral.